RNAcentral lists this small RNA (833 nucleotides) under Arabidopsis thaliana (thale cress). RNAcentral describes it as "ATSL139480". The record is from RNAcentral. Lineage: Eukaryota; Viridiplantae; Streptophyta; Magnoliopsida; Brassicales; Brassicaceae.
AAAAAAAAUGUUACGCUUUAAAUUUGUCUUUAAAGACAUACCUCGAUAAACUUAUCAACAUCAAAAGAAUCUUCUUGGUUUUCCUCCGACAUAGACAAUUUAGUGUUCUGCUCCGAGCUGCUGCUCUGGCUUUCACUCUCAAUCUUUGUAACUGAAAAUAGAUUAGUUUUGUUAGAGAGAAAUAGAAUCCAACACCAAUAAAAAGAAGAAGGGAAAAGCUCUUAAAUACAUUUACCUUCUACUUCUCCUUCUUCUAGGAAGCUACCUGCAAACAAAACAAACCCAAAUUCAGUUCAAUUCCGGCUAACUAUCUAGAUAUUAUGAACACAUGUAUAUUGACAAAUCUCGUCUUACCUUGAAAUUCACUAUUACUCGACUCUAUGCCUCCCUCGGCCUGAAAAUGGAUAUAAAAUGCAUGCAAGUCAAUUUGAUCUCUCCUUUCUUGUUAUCCCUCUUUGACUGUGUUACGUACGGUACGUAUAAAGAACAGUUUGUUUAAUUAUGGUUUUACGUACCUGACAAGAAACCUCAUUGAAGCUUGAGAGAAAGAGACACACUGCUAAACCCAAAACCACAUAUUUCCUUCCCAUAGCAGAGUUUGUCAUUACAAAGAAAAAAUUAUACACACUGCUUCCUUAAUCUUUAAAAUUGAGUUUGUUUGAUGUUUGAAGCAGAACAUGAUGUCUUUAAAUAGACCGAAUGUCUGUUUUAAAAUAAGAAAACUAAAAAAGAAAUAAUACAUAAUUACAUCAAGAAACAUAAAUAUAUAAAUAUUAAUAUAUCUACAUAUACUUUUAUGGUAAAGAUUUUGGUCCAAAAAUCUCUAAAAUAAA